GUGCUCGUUUUGGCAGCACGUAUACUAACGUUGGAAUGUUAACAGAGAAGAUUAGCAUGGCCCCUGUGCAAGAAUGACACGCAAAUUCGUGAAGCGGUCCAUGUUUUU
Callithrix jacchus (white-tufted-ear marmoset) is the source of this 108-nucleotide small nuclear RNA. Lineage: Eukaryota; Metazoa; Chordata; Mammalia; Primates; Cebidae. The record is from Ensembl.